ACUACGGGAGGCAGCAGUAGGGAAUGUUCGUCAAUGGGCGCAAGCCUGACCCAGCAACGCCGCGUGAAGGAAGAAGGCUUUCGGGUUGUAAACUUCUUUUCUCAGGGACGAAGCAAGUGACGGUACCUGAGGAAUAAGCCACGGCUAACUACGUGCCAGCAGCCGCGGUAAUACGUAGGUGGCAAGCGUUAUCCGGAUUUACUGGGUGUAAAGGGCGUGUAGGCGGGGACGCAAGUCAGAUGUGAAAACCACGGGCUCAACCUGUGGCCUGCAUUUGAAACUGUGUUUCUUGAGUACUGGAGAGGCAGACGGAAUUCCUAGUGUAGCGGUGAAAUGCGUAGAUAUUAGGAGGAACACCAGUGGCGAAGGCGGUCUGCUGGACAGCAACUGACGCUGAGGCGCGAAAGCGUGGGGAGCAAACAGGAUUAGAUACCCCAGUAGUC
Molecule: ribosomal RNA, 443 nt
Filed under: uncultured bacterium
Lineage: Bacteria
Description: partial 16S ribosomal RNA
Rfam family: Bacterial small subunit ribosomal RNA
Source: RNAcentral